UGAUGAAGAUAAAGCCCUCUUGCUCCUAACCUCUCUCUCACAUUCUUAUAAAAGCUUGGUAAUAGCCUUAACAGUUAGGAAGGAGACUUUGAAGGCGGAGGAAGUUGUUGUAGUUAUUUUAAAUAAUGAGAAGUUCAAGAAGACAAGUGGUAAAAAUGAUGGUGGACCUUUUAUUACUAGUUCUAGUCGUGAUAAAAGCAAUCCAGGUGGAAACCAUUUGAGAAGAAAUAGUAAAUUGAGCUCGAGACUAUGAAUAGACCUUAAAGAUAGAGAAUGCUACUAUUGUCAUUAGAAGGGCCACAUUCAAUA
This 309-nucleotide unclassified non-coding RNA is filed under the name Hevea brasiliensis (rubber tree). Lineage: Eukaryota; Viridiplantae; Streptophyta; Magnoliopsida; Malpighiales; Euphorbiaceae. The record is from RNAcentral.